UACGGAGGGUGCGAGCGUUGUCCGGAAUCACUGGGCGUAAAGGGCGCGUAGGCGGCGCGGAAAGUCGUCGGUGAAAGCUCGGGGCUCAACCCUGAGUCUGCCGGUGAUACUCCCGCGCUCGAGCUCACUAGAGGCAGAUGGAAUUCCGGGUGUAGCGGUGGAAUGCGUAGAGAUCCGGAAGAACACCGGUGGCGAAGGCGGUCUGCUGGGGUGAGGCUGACGCUGAUGCGCGACAGCGUGGGGGAGCAAACAGG
Molecule: ribosomal RNA, 254 nt
Filed under: uncultured bacterium
Lineage: Bacteria
Description: partial 16S ribosomal RNA
Rfam family: Bacterial small subunit ribosomal RNA
Source: RNAcentral